RNAcentral lists this ribosomal RNA (360 nucleotides) under uncultured Pseudomonas sp. RNAcentral's name for it is "bacterial SSU rRNA". It matches the Rfam family "Bacterial small subunit ribosomal RNA", at positions 1033 to 1382 of the family's 1533-position model. Lineage: Bacteria; Pseudomonadati; Pseudomonadota; Gammaproteobacteria; Pseudomonadales; Pseudomonadaceae. The record is from RNAcentral.
ACGAGGUGCUGCAGUGGCUGUCGUCAGCUCGUGUCGUGAGAUGGUUAGGGUUAACGUACCCGUAACGAGCGACCUAACCCUUUCGUCCUUAGUUACCAGCACGUUAAGGUGGGCACUCUAAGGAGACUGCCGGUGACAAACCGGAGGAAGGUGGGGAUGACGUCAAGUCAUCAUGGCCCUUACGGCCUGGGCUACACACGUGCUACAAUGGUCGGUACAAAGGGUUGCCAAGCCGCGAGGUGGAGCUAAUCCCAUAAAACCGAUCGUAGUCCGGAUCGCAGUCUGCAACUCGACUGCGUGAAGUCGGAAUCGCUAGUAAUCGUGAAUCAGAAUGUCACGGUGAAUACGUUCCCGGGCCUU